AAACUUACUUGCAAUCAUUUUUAUUGUCUUUAUUUAGCUAAGCAAUCAGGGGAAGCAGAAAACAUCAUUUUGUUCUUUUUUGAUCGUAUUUGUAAAUAAUCCUGAAACCCCACAAGGCUAUAAAGAAAAUUAAAAGUUUGUUUUUAAAUUAAUAUUUUUCUAAUAAUUAGGUAAUAAAACCAUCAAAAUUUUAUAUAAGGAAAAGGUUCAUAAGUGAGUUAUCUAAGAAUAAAGGAAAUGUCCCCAUAUGCACAUUAAAAAGUGUUUGAAACAAAAAAUUAGUUACUUUUUGUUGUUGUCUUUGAGCUCAGGGAAUUUUUACUUUCAAACAUACCACAGCAUAGUUUCAGCAUUUUAAUACUCUGUGGAUUCACUGCAAACAUUUACAUACUUAAAAUACUUAUGGGGGAAAUACCGUUCAGGUCACUUUUUAAAUAAUUGAUAAAACAAAAUUAAAAUAUUUUCUAUUACAUGCCUAUUUACAAUCCAGGUAACAAACCAAGAAAAUAUUUACAAUCACCAUUUUUAUAUAGGUGUUGGGCAAUUUGUUAUCCCCUUAAAUCAAACAUGAAAAGAAUGAGUUGACUAAGAAUUUAGUAAUAACUCCUCAAGACCAUCCUCAUAUGUAUGUCUGUGUACAGCUUUCUUAUAGCUGUUUUAUUGUUUUACUCUUACUUUUCUCUUUGUGCUAAUAUUUUUACUAAUUUGUAUAGCAUUCUAUUUAUAUCAUUUGCAAGCAAAACACAGUAAUGAAGAAUACUCUAAAUAAAGGUGUGUUUCUGAAGCUGAUCUGUUAUAAAUGUUUACAGUGGGAGUGAAAAUUGGAACCAGCCAAUUCCUCCUUAAUGGGUACUUUGUGAAGGAUAGCCCCUUAGCUGCAUUGUAACUGCACAAUCAGAUUGUUUUCCCUGUGAAUCUCACCUUAGGGCAACCUUGGGAAUUGCUGUACACCCAGGCAUAGAAGCUUUAAGCAGAAAUAGCAGUUGGAAGGGUAAUCCCAUCUUAUCUAUGCCCAGGUUGGCCCUUCAUUUCUACCCCCAGAGGAAUUCUAGUAUAAGCCUCCCUCCCAACCUAUAGCCAUGUCAUUAGACAUGCUCUGCUGAGCUCUGAGAUAGUUUGAAUCCAAUUUUUAAAGAGGAGGAACAGACAAGCUGAAGGAAAGACAUGGGAGAUGCUGAGGGAGGAAAUGGCUGGGGAGAGGUGAAGCCUACUUGCCUUGUCUUCCACAUUCCCUAACAACCUUGCAGAGCCCUCCUACCUAUAACCUUCCUUUUAGUCCUUUUUCUCUUACCCAAGAACUCUUCGUUAGUCCCUGAGAGAUACUGCUUCUAAUAGCAACAUCUCCUCAGAAGAAAUUCCAUUUGAUAAACUUGGCAGGCAUGUUGGGCACUUCUUUGGAAGGCUGUCCAUUGUGUCUGCAGAAUGUGAGAAAACCACUGUGGAUAAACUACUAAAAAUGUCUAAGAGAGAUAACCUGAGUUGUUAGGGUUCACACAGUGCUGCAGUUUUUAUGUUCCUGAACUUUUUAGUCACAGAAACUUACUUUUUCAUUUGCUCCUGGAAUAAUAAGACUCUAGGGGGGAAGAAGAGUUGAAAUAACUAAACUUACUCCAGGAGGUUAGUAAACUAACAAGGUAUGAACAUUGAGUGUGUGUGACCACCUUCACGGAGCACGAAUCUUCAUUAUUUAGGCCAAUGUCAUGGCUAAAGCACUUGGGAAACCAAAUUUGUAAGUGGGAGGUUACUGGGUGAGCAGAGCAUUAGGGCAAGGAUGGGGGUAUGGGGCAAGUGAGCAGUUGUUGGGACAGUCUGCACUCUAGAGUAAAGAACAUGAGUAUGGAAUCACAAUAAGCUCUAUGCAAAGGUUUGCUCCUCUGAGAAAUUUUUACACUGAGCUCUAGUUUUCUCUUCUAAAAAAGCAUAAGAGUAUCUACCUUAAAGAAUUGUGAAACUUCAUAAUUUUAUAAUGCAUUUAACACACCCCAAUUUUUGAUUUUUAGAAAGUGCUUGGUAAAUUAUAAUAUAAUCUAGUGUCUGUUGUCCCCUCCUCAUCAUUGUUAGGAGUUUGAUUCAUGCAAAAGCCUGGGAGUACAUCCAGGCUCCACUGAAGAGCUCAUUUUUGGAGCAGUUGGUAGGCUUAAGUCUUCCUGAUGCAGUGACUCUUCUCUGGAUAUUGGCCAAAUACUAACAAAUGAUUCCAAUCUGAUCUUCAUCUUCCUAGAUUCAAUGCCAAUGGGCCAUUUUUUCCCUUUAUGAUAUCAAUGAAAAACAUUUAUAAAUUACAUUUUCAUGUACCUGAAAUUUGAGGGAUGUGUUGUUUUCACUGGGAAAUUUAAACCUCUCUGGACUCCAUUUGCAAAAUGGGGAUACAAAUGCCAGUGUGAUAAGCUGAAUGUGGAUAUUUGGGGAUUGAAUGAGAGAAUUUAGUUGAAAAUGCCUAGCGCUCUGUUUGGUGGCAUUCUGGUUUCUUGAACAAUGCUAACUGGAUCUACCGCAUAUUUAAAAACAAUUCCUUGGAGUGGUUACUCUCACUGAAUUAUAUUGGAUCAUGUUAGUUUCUGUUGAAGGGAGUAGCAUUUUCUGGCCUUGUCUCUGUGUAGGUAAGAUAUUCUAUACUUUGAAGCCCUUGUGUCUGAUAUUAUUGCCGCUUCAAUUUAAGAGAUAGGUAAAAGAAAAUGGAGGGAAAAAAAAUCUCUAGACCCUGAAAGCAAGGAUAGAAGCCCUAAAUCAUCUUAGGUUAUUUGUUUCAAUAAAGAUCUUUUCUAUUUCAGUGAGUGAUUCAUUAGAAAGAAGGAAUUCAAAUUGGUGGUUAGUCAUCUGAACAUACUCCUUUGUAUCAGUUAUUUCCUCAAAUCCAGAGUCUAUUUUGUGUUUAAUUAUAAGUAGUUAGGUACACUGCCAUGUAAUGUAAUCUUUAUUUCGUCAUUUCAGUGGAGCUUAUUUUACAGAAAAAAAAAGUAGUUCAUUUCCACAGACACAUAAUGGGCAUAUACUGUGCAAAAGUUUUUUUUCCUAACUUCCUAAAUUUAUUCUUCAUUUUUUUUAUUGUUAGUUCCCCAAUACAAGUUUUUUUUCUAUUGUACAGCAUGGUGACCCAGUUACAUAUACAUGUAUACAUUUGUUUUUCUCCCAUUAUGGGCAAAAAGUUUAAUCAGGAAGUAUCAGAAUCAAACUUGUUUUAAAAAGACUGUCUAUACUAUCCAUAUAGACAAUGAAGAAGGAAGUAAGUAGACAUAAGGAAACAUGGCUUGUUAAGACUGUGCAAAGAUGAAAGCUAAGAGAAUUUGAGAACUUAUGGGUUCCUCUCAGAGGUAUAACUUUUCAUUACUUAUCCUUUGAUAUUGUGUAUUGCAUGUGACUUCUGUUUCCUAUUACUUUGGAAUUCUGGCUCCAGGUUGUUGAAUUUUCUGGAAAUCUAAGCCUAGUGCAACUGGAUUCUGAAGUAAAUUGAUGGUAUUAAUCAAGAUUAACUUGUUUUGAUCAACUAUACCUUAAUUUAAAAAAAAAUUACAGGAGUUCCCGUCCUGGUGCAGUGGUUAUCAAAUCCACUAGGAACCUUGAGGUUGAGGGUUCAAUCCCUUGCCUUGCUCAGUGGGUUAAGGAUCCGGCGUUGCUGUGAGCUGUGGUGUAGGUUGCAGACACAGCUCGGACCCAGAGUUGCUGUGGCUGUGGUGUAGGCUGGUGGCUAUAGCUCUGAUUCGACCCCUAGCCUGGGAACCUCCAUAUGCCAAGGGAGGGGCUCUAGAAAAGGCAAAAAGACAAAAUAAAUAAAUAAAAUAAAAUAAAAACUAAAAUUUAAAAAAUUACAUUAAAAAAACCCUUGUUUCCCCCAAACUGGAAACCAUUAUGUGUGAAUAGCUUGCCUAUUUUUCUUAUCUUUUCUUUAAUGACUCUUAUUCUCUCAUAGAGCUUCUCCACAAAUAAAUGUUACCAAUAAAUAAAAUACCAAUAUGAGUAUUUCUGACUGAAAUUCACAGGGGAGAAUUAAAAUUCAAUAGCCGUUGCAAGAGACUCUAUUUUUCACUCCUGCCGCCUAACUGCUGGGGAGUCAGUGAUUGAAAAGUAAAGAAAAUUAUUUCUAAAACUCCUAAAAGUGAGAAAUGAAACAAGUUUAAAGGGUUUUUUUUUUUUUUUUGGUUUUGUUUUUUUUUUUUUUUCCAAUUUUCUUCAGUGGAAGAAAAACUGUUUCGUUCCAACUUCAUAUUGUGUUCUUCCUUGUAAUCCAAUAUUAGGGCAUUAUGAGGAUGAGAUUCUUAUCUCUCUUAGUAUAGUUGGAACAUGUUUUGAAAGUUUGUAGGUGUUUGAAAAGGGAAUGCUGCAAAGUGAAAAUUCAUAACCUUUGAUUAUAAAUUGCACAAUAUCUUUCAUGAGAGCAUAAAGAGGCUUUCUUUUCAUUAUAGAAACACAGGGAUUUAAUACAGGUAGAAAGUAAUUUUGAUGCCCAGAAAUAUAAUGCUCUGUGAAUAAAGCCUCAUUUUCCCUCAAAACAUAAAAAUAAUAUACAAUCCGUCCUGUGUCUUUAUAAAUAAAAACCCACUCAUAGGCAUGUGUCCAAGCCGACCAAACAAUACAGAAAUGGAAAUACCAUAUUUUUUUCCUGGAAUUUCUUUACAUUUGGAUCAGCAUGUGUUUAUAACCUUUACAAAUUGAAAUUUGGGCCCACAGGAGAAAAGUGAGCUUUAUUUUGAGUAGGAAAAACACUGCCUUAAUAGUUUGACCCAAAUGUCUCAAUUUUUCUUUAUGGAUGAAAAAAUAGUACAAGUAAACUGUCAUGGUAAUAAAUAGCAAGCUAUACAAUUAUAUUUUAAACACAAAUUUGGGUUUCCCCUUCCAAUCCCGUGCCUCCCCCUCUUCCUUUUCCCACCAUCCAAAAAGAUGUCUCCCCAACUAAAGGCACCUGCUACAUUGGAUGUUUGCCAGAGCCCUAACAAUAGAAUGGAGUAAUUAAAGCAGGUUCAGGUCGUAAGUCUCCAUGACUGAUUGUGGGUCCUUUCAUCUUUCUAAACAUUACUCUUCUCAGGUUUAAAAGACAAAUAAUAAUAUGAGAAUUAGAUGAAUGUGUAUGUGAAAGUGCUUGGUGAAUCUCCAUUCUUUGUUUUGUCUCAAUCAUAUUUUUCUUUGAUGAAAAUUCCUUACCCAUACUCCUUUUGUUUUUCCUUUCCAGGAUAUAAUACCACUUUGUAAUAUACUAUCCCACUACCUACUGUUCAUUGAAUCACAAAUUUAAGUUCAGGUAGCACCAAAUAGCAAAGCUCCAGGAUAGAAGGCUAGAGGAACACUCUCUCUACUUAAGAUUUUAACAUUUUAAUCAAAGAUAAGUGCGUGUUAAUGAUUAAAAUGUGAAAAUUACAGAAGUUGACAAAUUUAAAAUCUCUUGAAGACUGCUGUGCUAGUUUUAAAGAGAGACACUUUUUAAACAUACACAAUUUUACACUGCAAACUUGUUUUACAAUUUACUUUUAAUGUAAUACCAGCACAUUUGUUCACUCAAUAUACAAAUAUUUGUUGAAUGUCAAUAAAUGCUAGGUAAUGUAGGCUCUGGUUUAUAGCAGUAAAUAAUCUAGAGAAGGUAUAUAUUAGAAUUAUAACCAUUUCCAUACUUGGAGACCUAUCUCCGUGUGUGUGUGUGUGUGUGUGUGUGUGUGUGUGUGUUCGCGCGCGCACAUAACACUUACAAAUGCGCAUUCAAUCUGUUUCUAAUGCUUGACAAUUUGGGAGGGAAAAAUUAACAAGCAAUUUUCGGUGUUUAUGUCUGAAACUGCACUGAUACAAAUAUUAACUAUUUUCAGGUCAAAAUUAUUUUUUAUUUUACUAGAUAUUUCCAGAUUACCUCAUAGGAGGUUGUGCUAAUUUAAACUUCCAGAAACAAUAAAUGUCUUAUUGUAUGACACAGUGAGCUCUCUGCUUAAAUUUUAAUAACCUUAUAAAUAAUUUUCUGCAUUGUCAGUUAUUUCUCUUUUCAUUGAUAUGUAGUGUUUUAUAUAUUAUCAAUAUUGGUCCUUUGGUUUCUAAUUACAUUGAAAUUAGUUUCUUCAAAAGUUGUUAGCUGUGGGACUUCCAGUGUGGCUCACAACAUAACUACUCAGCGUUGCUUCUACAGUGGCUGUGGCUGGACCCCUGGCCUGGGAACUUCCAUAUGCCACAGGUGCGG
This 6151-nucleotide long non-coding RNA is filed under the name Sus scrofa (pig). RNAcentral describes it as "lncRNA (ENSSSCG00000058910.1)". Lineage: Eukaryota; Metazoa; Chordata; Mammalia; Artiodactyla; Suidae. The record is from RNAcentral.